This 309-nucleotide ribosomal RNA is filed under the name uncultured eukaryote. RNAcentral describes it as "partial 18S ribosomal RNA". It matches the Rfam family "Eukaryotic small subunit ribosomal RNA", at positions 1470 to 1796 of the family's 1831-position model. The record is from RNAcentral.
CCCUUAGAUGUUCUGGGCGGCCCGCGCACUACACUGGCACUCUCAAUCAGAGCCUGGAUCUAACACUUUGGGGUAUUCUAUGAAGUGGUGUCGUGACUGGGAUUAACCCUUGCAAUUAUUGGUUACGAACGAGGAAUUCCUUGUAAUCGCGGUUUAUCAGCCCGCGUUGAAUGCGUCCCUGCCCUUUGUACACACCGCCCGUCGCUCCUACCGAUGAAUCGUCCGGUGAAGUUCAUGGAGUGGUGGUUGUUCCAGCUGCUGUCGAAGUGAAAUGGACCUCACGAUUUAGAGGAAGGAGAAGUCGUAACA